Molecule: long non-coding RNA, 1372 nt
Filed under: Sus scrofa (pig)
Lineage: Eukaryota; Metazoa; Chordata; Mammalia; Artiodactyla; Suidae
Description: lncRNA (ENSSSCG00005006875.1)
Source: RNAcentral
CAGCCCUAGAAAAGACCAAAAAAAAAGAUUGUUGCUGAUGUGAAGAGUUAGUUUGACCACUGAGCAAUGUCCCUUCCAGCUUUGUGACAUUUGCAUGAAUUCUGUCCUAGGCUCACGCCCACACCCUUAAGAGGCUCUGAUGAUGUUGUUUUUUUGUUACAGGUAAGAUGUUAGAUAAAAUACUUACAAACCACCCCUCCGUCUUUAUGAAGCAAUUCAUGUGCAUAUACACUGCUGAAAUAUAGCACACUGCAUUCAAUUACAUCAAGUAUGACAUCUUUGUUUUUUUCAUCUUUUUGCCAGUUAGCAAGCAUUAACAAUAAAGUCGAUGAGUUCAGCUACUCCUUGGUGGUAGAGUGUAGCUUGGAUUUCUUCUUCCCAUUUUUUUUUUUUUUUUUUUUUUUUUGUUUUUUUUUUUUUUUUUUUUUUUUUUUGGCUGCACUCAUGGCAUUUAGAAGUUUCAAGCCAGGGAUCAAACCCAUGUCACAGCAGGUACCUGAGUCACAGCACAACACCGGCUCCUUAACCCACUGAGCAAGACCAAGGAUCAAACCCGCAUCCUCAUGGAUCCUAGUCGGGUUCAUUAACUGCUGGGCCACGAAGGGAACUCCUGUUUUUCUUUUUAAAUAGUCGCUUUGACAUUUGGUAGCUACCAGAGAAACACAGGGGUUUCGAAGGGCAUCUCAGGUCAAUUCAAAAGCCUGGAGAAGAACCGAGUUGGCAGAACAUAAUCCUGCCAGUUGAAAUUCAGCCAGCCUUCGCAAUUUAUUCGCAUCUGAAAAGUACUACAGGUGUUUCAAAUAAUGUAGUAGACACGCUCCUUCAGUGCCCAUUUCCUAAUUUUCCUCUAAUCACUUGGUUGCAGACAGGACUUGUUUAUUUGAAAGAUAAUUGGGAUGGAGGUUGGACUCCAUAUAUUAUGAUUGCUUUGCUUCCUAUAUAUUAUUUUGAUUUGAAAAUGUCAAAGCAUCCAACUGAAUAGUUUCCUGUUUCACAGAUGUGUAAAUGGGGGGACAUGAUUUGGAUGGGCUUAUGCUCCUGGGCUGGAUCUUCCUUUAGUUUUUACUUCUCUAUUCUUUACUUCUCUUUACUUCUCUAUUCACUGCAAUCCACACAAGGCAGCUGCACUCUAGCCCAUUUUCUCUGAGUCCUUAUUCCUACCAUAAUUACAGGCAGGCAUACCGCGGAGAUAUUGUUGUCUUGGUUCUGGGCCACUGCAGUAGAGCAAAUAUGGCAAUAAAGCAAGUCACAUGAAUGUUUUGGCUUCCCAUUGCAUAUAAAAGUUAUAUUCACACUAUACUACAGUCUAUUAAGUAUGCAAUGGCAUUCUGUCUGAAAAAACAAAACCCCCAAAAACCAAUGCGCAGACCUU